ACUGGCCCUCAGGCCUGUCUAUGAAAAGGGUCAUUCCUCACGCUCUUACCUUCUCUCCUGGAGUUCAUCCGACGGUUAAGGAUGCCUCUCCUAGAAGCAGUCAUCUUCUCUUUCCUCUGGGCUGCUGGCCUUGGGCAGUUUAGGUUGGAACAAUCAGAAAUAUCCAUUUCCAAGGAAAGACAGAAAAGCGCUUCCAUAUCUUGUAAGAUGUUCAAUGGAAAUUUUAACGGAGCAUACAUCCACUGGUACCGGCAGAAGCCGGGUCAGAGCAUAGAACAUCUCAUGUAUAUCCAGUCGAUAUCAAGCCCUGCUAAGCAUACAGUGGGUGGGAAGAACAAAUUUGAAGCAACUAAAAAUUCUCGCACUUCCACCUCAACCUUGAAAGUCAAUUUUCUGGAGCAAGAAGAUGAGGCCAUGUACUACUGUGCCUGCUGGGUGAAACCCACGGUGCUGGAGUUGCCCAGAGGCGCUCCACAAAAACCAGGUUCAGGUGGCAAGGUGGUCGGUCCGUGGAUGUCUGUCAGCGGGCUGUGCAGACCAUCUUUCCAGCAGGCCAUUUCCUUCAGUGACUCCCUUGAUCAGCUAACUCCCUGCUCACUCACUUUUACCAUAAACGUCACACUGGCCAAGUCAUUUUCCUCCCUAGAAUCUUCAAAGUAUGGUCCCAAACUGCUGAUGGAGCAGCCCUGCCGUUAUAAGAUCAGAAAGCUUCAGUCCAUGAGUGAGGCUUAUCAUCCUUUUAACAAUUACUUCCACGAUUGA
Erinaceus europaeus (western European hedgehog) is the source of this 762-nucleotide non-coding RNA. Lineage: Eukaryota; Metazoa; Chordata; Mammalia; Eulipotyphla; Erinaceidae. The record is from the annotation of a RefSeq genome assembly.